This is a non-coding RNA of Paramuricea clavata, 998 nucleotides long. The record is from the annotation of a GenBank genome assembly. Lineage: Eukaryota; Metazoa; Cnidaria; Anthozoa; Malacalcyonacea; Plexauridae.
AGAGCACAAUGUUUAGCAUUUUUAAAACACAUUGAAUUAUUUGAUUAUGUAAGACAUAACAUACGAGUCGCAAAGCAUUUUUCAUUAAUUAGAAUAUCAAACGUGCUUUCUAAAUGUAAUUUUUCUUGCAUAUUUUUAGAAAAGGCCCUGUGUCAUGUGAAUGUACUGUAUCCCACAUAUUAGUGACAUCCACCAUAGCUUCAAAAUGAAACAAUUACGAAUUAUCUCGCUCUUUUUCGUGUUUUUUUAGUUCAAGAUGUAUCUUUAUCAUAUUCAUUUGUACCUUACGAAGGAGUUGUACAAAUUACCACUGGUAGUUGGACCAAGAAUGUUUGUUGCCAAAGUUUAAAUAGCCAGGCCCAGUAUAUUGUUUGUCGUCACCUAGGAUACGACGCGGAAAGCUAUCUUGUUAAUGUGUCCGCUCCAACAGAUGCCAAAGAUGAAUCAUUUUCUGGAAAUAUAGACUGUAAUGGUGGAGAGAAGUACUUAUCCCAGUGUUCAAUUACUGCUUCGGCCAACGAAAGUUGUUCUGGGUUAUCAUACAUACGAUGUAAGUGCAUUGGUAAGAUAAAACGAAUAGGAUGCAGAUGGCAAAGAAAGGAGUAGAAAGAAAUAGAAAGUAUAGUAAUAAACGGAAGAUAGAAAGAACAAAUUAAAUGGGGUCAGCUAAUCAAAAUCUAGAAUGCAUGACUAUCUAUUUUCAUAUUUUAGGUGGUUAUGGUUUUAUGAGACCACAGUUAGAAGAUAAACGAAGAUUUCCUGAUUCGUCAUUUGGUGCUUCUGCUUCUUUAAAAGGUCACGGUGCUUCUGAUGCACGGAUAUCUAGUGGUAAUUCUUGGUGUGCUCCUGUCCUAGAAGACAAACAUUACCUUCAAGUGAAUUUGAGAAGACUAUAUUCUCUCUAUUAUGUCAUAACAUAUGGUGACAGUACCAGCCCAGCAUGGGUGGCUACGUAUAAUCUGAAUUACACCAUUGAUUUGGUGAACUGGAAAACUUUG